GAUGAACGCUGACAGAAUGCUUAACACAUGCAAGUCGAUUCGAUUUACCUUCGGGUAUUGAGGAUGGCGGACGGGUGAGUAACGCGUAAGGAACUUGCCUCUUGGACUGGGGACAACUGUUGGAAACGACAGCUAAUACCGGAUAUUAUGAGAUUCUCGCAUGGGAAACUUAUGAAAGCUAUAUGCGCCAAGAGAGAGCCUUGCGUUCCAUUAGCUAGUUGGUGGGUAACGGCCACCAAGGCGACGAUGGAUAGCCGGACCUGAGAGGGUGAACGGCCACAAGGGGACUGAGACACGGCCCUUACUCCUACGGGAGGCAGCAGUGGGGGAAUAUUGGACAAUGGGCCACAAGCCUGAUCCAGCAAUUCUGUGUGCACGAUGAAGGUCUUCGGAUCGUAAAGUG
This 403-nucleotide ribosomal RNA is filed under the name uncultured bacterium. RNAcentral's name for it is "bacterial SSU rRNA". It matches the Rfam family "Bacterial small subunit ribosomal RNA", at positions 28 to 432 of the family's 1533-position model. The record is from RNAcentral.